GUUAGGGCUUCUAACAAAGCGAGAGACUCAGCCAUAAGCGAGGACGACGUUGCCACCGUACGAGCUGCUCCGUCCAGCAACCUCCCGACGGAAUCACGGCAAACGCAGGCGACCGAACCUUCUGAAGCUCCAGAUCUGCUUGAUUUGGGGUUCCAUUUGUUAAAGCUCUUCAACCCAGCUAGAACAGAGUCGAUGAUGCUGAUUGUGUCGGGUUUUCUGUUCUUGAAGAUGGCUUGGUUGCGCGCCUUCCAUAUAUUCUAUAGUGUUGCAGCAACCAGCUCUAGAUUAGGGUUCGACCAAAUUUCCUUUAUCCAAGGACACAAUAAAAACAGGUGCUCCACAGUUUCCACGCAUCGAUUGCAUAAAGAGCAUGUGGGAUCAGGUAUAACUUUUCUUCGAAAUAAAUUCUCUUUAGUUGGGAGAGCAUUCUGGCAUAAAUUCCACAUGAAAAUUCUAACCUUGGGUGGAGAGUGCAAUUUCCAUAUAUCUAUCCAGAGGGUGGGAGGAGGUUGAAAAGAAGUUGAGGCUUGAUUUUCAUUCUGUUUAUUUGCUUU
Molecule: long non-coding RNA, 554 nt
Organism: Syzygium oleosum
Lineage: Eukaryota; Viridiplantae; Streptophyta; Magnoliopsida; Myrtales; Myrtaceae
Exons: 3
Source: RefSeq, a predicted model, not a curated record